RNAcentral lists this ribosomal RNA (348 nucleotides) under uncultured Erysipelothrix sp. RNAcentral's name for it is "bacterial SSU rRNA". It matches the Rfam family "Bacterial small subunit ribosomal RNA", at positions 1034 to 1382 of the family's 1533-position model. The record is from RNAcentral. Lineage: Bacteria; Bacillati; Bacillota; Erysipelotrichia; Erysipelotrichales; Erysipelotrichaceae.
ACAGGUGGUGCAUGGUUGUCGUCAGCUCGUGUCGUGAGAUGUUGGGUUAAGUCCCGCAACGAGCGCAACCCUUGUCUUCAGUUACCAUCAUUCAGUUGGGGGACUCUGGAGAGACUGCCGGUGACAAACCGGAGGAAGGUGGGGAUGACGUCAAAUCAUCAUGCCCCUUAUGACCUGGGCUACACACGUACUACAAUGGCGUAUACAACGGGAAGCGAAAUGGUGACAUGGAGCAAAUCUCACAAAGUACGUCUCAGUUCGGAUUGAAGUCUGCAACUCGACUUCAUGAAGUCGGAAUCGCUAGUAAUCGCGGAUCAGCAUGCCGCGGUGAAUACGUUCUCGGGGUUU